AAUAACCUCCAAAAAAGUUGCCUGGGGUAUCUCUCAUGGUUGUCGGGCGAGUUGUCAAAUUUAGCGGGUCAGUCGUAUGUGCGGUCCCUGCUCAAUGUUUUUUAAAUUGCUGUGGUAUUUUGACUAUACAAAGGUAUUGAAAUAAGACUUUAAUUGAGUGCUAAGAGAAUGGAAUUUCAUAAAAUUUCUUUUUUAAUUUUAAAAAUUGAAAUUAAUUUUAUAUGUGAAGAAACAAUAAUAAAAAUUAAGGACAAGAAGACCCUAAGAAUUUUAAAGAAUUCAAUAAAAUACAAAAUUUUAUUGAAUUCUUUUAAUUGGGGCGAUUAUUAAAUAUUAAAAACUUUAAUUUUUUUAAAAAAGAACCAAUAAUAUUGGUUAUUUGAAAAAAUACUCUAGGGAUAACAGCGUAAUAAUUUUUGAUAGUUCUUAUAGACAAAAUAGUUUGCGACCUCGAUGUUGGAUUAGGAUUCUUUUUUAAUGAAGAAGUAAAAAAAGAAGUUGUCACNUA
RNAcentral lists this ribosomal RNA (508 nucleotides) under Amblyomma maculatum (Gulf Coast tick). RNAcentral describes it as "partial 16S ribosomal RNA". Lineage: Eukaryota; Metazoa; Arthropoda; Arachnida; Ixodida; Ixodidae. The record is from RNAcentral.